Pezoporus occidentalis (night parrot) is the source of this 5575-nucleotide long non-coding RNA. RefSeq lists it as uncharacterized. Lineage: Eukaryota; Metazoa; Chordata; Aves; Psittaciformes; Psittacidae. The record is from RefSeq and is a predicted model, not a curated record. The transcript has 3 exons.
CCGUUACCGGUCCCUCCACCGCGCGGGCUGGGGAGCAGGGGAGAUGCUGCUCGGUGCUGAUCGCUCGCAGCGAGGGACGGGCGGGAUCUCCAGCUGGGAUAAACACGGCCACUGUUUUCCCUUGGCCCCUUAUUCCAAGUUUACAGAUCUGCUUUUGGUCUCUGAGUGAGCGAUUGCCACCCGUUUCCUCACCCCGUGUCCCGGCUGGCGGUAGGAGUACCACUUGAAUUCCCCAAACAAAAUGGAAGUGGAAAGUCUUGGGCUUAGUUGAAAAGAACAGCGAAUUCUGCUUGCAAUCUGUAAUGCAAUUAGCAUUAUUUGACUUGGCAGCCUUCGGAGGGCCUGCGUGGGCUGCAGGCUGUGAGGGCCUGGAGUCAGCCUCUGUCUAGGAAGCAGGGCUUGAGAGGAACUCUUCACAUCUGAGCUCUCUCGGUGGUUUUCCUCCCCCAUCUCCAUUUCCCUCCACCCUCGGCGUUCGGAUGCCACAGCCGUUCGGAUGCCACAACCGGUCCUUCUUCCCAGCUGGGAAGGGGUGGAGUGGGUUCCUUUUUCAGCCCCUGCCCUGCUCCACGGCCCCUCUCCCGCCCUGUGGGUGUCUGCAUCCCCCCUCCUGGCCAAAGGGAAAUAGUUCUGGGUCAGAACUCACUGAGCCAUCUGUGUUUUCAAGGCUAAAUUAUCCCUUGCGAGGGAAAUAGCAUUAGGCCGGCAUAUCUGGCUGCUAAUUGCUUUAACUGGCUGAAAAGAUUUCAGUCUGUUCUUGAGCUGUUUGUGCAAACCGAACAGAAAAGUGUAACCUUCAGAUCCUGCCCCGUCCGCAGCCAGAACGUGUAAACAAGUCUUUGGGUAAGAAAAGCAGCACAGAGUUUCAGGCUAUGCUGUGAGAGACAGGAAGUUAUGGGCAAAUUGAUUUCACUACUGGGAAAGCAGGGAUCUUUUUUUUCCCCUCCCCAAGUAAUGAUUGUAAAGCAUGCUAAUGCAAUUCAACAUUAGUGCAUGAAAGUGUGGCCUUAUUAAUUCAAGACAUAAAGGCAUCAAAAUAAGCUGUUAAAUUUAAAAUAUAAUACAUAUAUAAUGAGAAAAAAUGUGCGAAAGCUUUAUUCAAAUGAAAAUUCAGAAUUGUUUGAGCUAGUGAAGUAUUUUUUGUGCUGAGUUAUGAGCAUAUGUAAUAGAUUUAAUUAUUAAUUUCUCCAUUGUUCUAUGCACACAGACAGGGUUCAAGGCACAGUCAUUCUCUGGCUUUCAUGGAUCUAAUUUGUAUAAUUAUUGCCUGAAUAAAGAAUUGCUCCGAUUCCUAGCUCACUUUUUUCCUCUCCUAAGGACUACCUCACUGUUGCGUUCCAAAAGGAGAGCACCUGCUAGUUCUUCAGGAAUCAGCUGAUCACUUCCUGUGAUGAGGCACACUCCUGGUGACGUUCCUUUUCAAGCCUUUUUGUCUAAAUGAAUUAUUGUGCAUCCUUUUUAAUUUUAUUGAGCAAAUUACGUUUGUCAAGGUCUGCCUUUGUAAACAAAUGGCUAGAGACACAUGGAUGCAUAUUGCUGCUGUUCAAGUUCUCCUGUUCUAUUUAUGGAAGCCAGAUGAAUGUGAAACAAAAGAGAAAGUUUUCUCUAAAAGCAAUUAUCUUUCUGCAUUCCCAUCAGUCUAAUUAUAUUGCAGGGAAUUUUAAGGACUCAUACGGAUAGAAUUGAAAGCUUAAAAUCAUGGCUGAAUCCAUAUGCAAAAGCUGAGCAGAGCAUCUUACCUCAUGCUAACAAAACACACCGUGCUUCUGUUACACCUUUACACCUGAAAUGCAUGUAUUCAUCAUAAAAUAAGAACCUGAGAUCCAUGCUAUACAUAUGAAAAGUAUUUGUGGGAAUAACUACUGAAUUCCCCUCCAUUUUGAAGUGCUAAUAUUAAUGGGUUGAAAUAUUUUAUCACCUGGGCAUUUAGAAAGCCAUGGCCCUUCUCUGUGAGUAUCUUUAAUCUUGACUCUUUGACUUUGGAGACACGUUGUGUUGUUAAAAUAGAACCUCUUCUUUGUUUAUGGAAAGGUCUUCCCAGACAGUAAAAGGAAUAAGGCCCAAGAGCACAUCGCAAGGUCCAAACUGAGGAGUCUGGUAAAAAUCAUUACGUUGACUGUCCUUAGAGAAAAAUCAUUAUGACUUUUAGGAAGCUGCAGCACCAGCAUGGUUUGUAAGAAGUCACAUCAUUCUGGGGGGACUAGAGAAAGUCUGCCAGGAGAGUAAUUUUAUCCUUUCCAUUGUCCCAUUAAGUGCUGAGAGCUCUUAUUUGAAUAUAGGGUUAUCUUUUCCCUUUAGUUUGUUGAGAAGAUGCUGUCAGACCACCAAAGUAACAAUUACAGGGAUGGUCUAAGGGUGUUUUUACACUCCUAUCAGAGCAGAAAGCUCAGCAAAAGCAGCUUCAGGGGUACUUCUUGAGGAGAAGCAAGACCAGGCCUGGCUGAGAGCCUUCUUGCAAAGUAAAGGAAAUGGAGGUCCUGCAGCAGGGAUCUGCUAUACCACAAUUACUCCCUCAGCUAUCACCUUCCUUUGCAGGGAGGUGCUAUGGAAAGAAGUCCCAUUGGCGCCAGAGUUUUCUUGCGUUCAGCCAUGGGCUGGGUUACAGCAAAUGCUUUCCUCUCGCUUCCUUCUGGGAUCCUAUGCCAGGGCAUGAGGUACAUUGCCAUCUGAGGAUCCCCUGUAGGAAAGGUUCUUGUUUCAAGGGGGGUUAUGCCUGAGCCAUAAUGGUGUUUUAACUGACUUUUGUUGUUCAGUAAAAUCUCCCCCCUCCAAUAAUCUGCAAAUCUGUUACCAAUCAGAAUAUGAUACGUAUCCUCAGCCAGUUUCAGUGGAGCUUAUUUCUAUUACAUCUGGCAGUGUGUCCAGUGGUGGAGAAAAAAACCUCAACCAGAAUUAGCUGCACUGAAAUCAGCUAAAUCUUGGAUGUGUUCAACCUUUUUGGCCUGACUCAUUCCGGUUCAUGAGAAGUAAUUAUCUCUUGAGCAUCACAUUAAAGAUCCAUAGGCAUUAGAGUUUAGGCAAUAUACCUUCUUCCCAGCUCAAAAAAAAUAUGUGGGAUAAUUGAUCUGAAUGUGCUCCAAAUGUGCAUAUGUCUUUAUUUAUGAAUUCCAAUGUGGAUUGUUUGGGAGGAUAAGGCGGAAUAAGGAAAAGCAGGCAAAAACGUUGGGAUGUCUCAUCUCCCUGGCCAUUUCUGUUAGGAAUAGUUAUAAUCCUCUGAAAAUGGGUUGUGAAAACCAACAGCACGUUAAUAGCACAUGUUACAAACACUAAAUCCCUUCAACUGGUAUUUCUGAUUUACACCUUUCCCUCUUUCUUAGAUCAGGGAAGCUGCGGCUGUCUGUGGCCAGGCCACUUGCUGGAGAGCCAGGUUUGGGCACUAAUAGUUCCACUUUCUAAGGUCAGUGUGAAAUGGCACCCCAGCUUCUGCCUGCUGGAGGAAGAACUGCCCUUGGAGCAUCAAAAACACUGUCUCCUGCAGGGCAUUCAUAAACUGGGAUGCUGAGAUGACCUGUCCCGGAUGUGAAGGUGAGGAUGGUUGUCCUGAGUCCCAGGACACGGUGGUUGUGCACGUAGGAAACCACAGCCUCAAGUGCUUGGGUACUGCUUGCAGACAGUGUGGUAGGACGCUGCAAAGGUGGCAACGCUGCUGGCUGAGGGCUGGGCUCAAGCCAUCAAGCACCCCUGCACUGACACACUCCCAUACCUUCCAUCAUCACUGUGACAGUUGAAUCUGUGCUCUGGUAUCUUAUGGGUACGUAGAUGGUAUUCCAUUGCUCAUCCUUCCACCAGCAGAAAAUUCCAUUACUCCACACUAGCAAUGUCACUGCAUUAAAUAAAGGGCAGCUUUUUCCUUACUGAAUGUUUUAUUGUGUUCAGCUUCACCCAGUAGGGGAAAACAAGUCUAUAAAAGUGCCGCUAGCUUGUUUCAACUCCUGCACGUGCACCCACCUCAUUUUCAUGCCCUGCCGAGGGGUGUCAGGCACAGCCCGGCUGCCCUAGCAGUCCUGAACUGGCCCAAUUUCCUGCAGAGUGCAGCGAGGGCCGUAGAUAUCAACUUCAAAGGUAAACAAUUACCUUUUAUUAUCACACAUGGCUUUAGCUCUACCAGUUUCAAAUAGCACGUAAUCACAAGUCUGUGAUAACAUUUACUCCUGAUGAGAGAAAAUUCACCAAGUACUAAAUUGCUGCUGAGAUGACGGGAACAUGAGCCAGGCAGGAAUUAACUCCAAUGAUGAGUCAGCAGACGUUAAUGUCUUGCACCAUGCUGGAGACAUCUGCUGAGCCGUCCACUGUUGAAUCAUCUUCAAUAUUUCUGUGUUAUUACCCCUCUAGGAACAAGCACCGGAGAACUUUUGUGUCCCUGUGUUAUAAAUGCAUAAGCUAUUUUAAAAUAAAUAUAUGCAGGCACAUAACAAGUGUAUGCAUUUAGGUAUGUAGGUAAUUUUCAGCGACGGGAAGGAUGAGCAACCAGCAACUAUUUAAAGUAAAACAUGCAUGAAAAUGCUAAUAGCAAUUGCCUACAUUUGGUGUUUUGAAAGUGAUAGCUUUGCUCAGUCGUGGCUCUGAUAAGCCUGGAUGGUGCCCUCAUGCCCAUGCCAUAUGCCCUGAACCUUCACACAGACCAGCCUGGCCAAGGUCUCAAUGUAAGAGCUACAAGUUCACUAAGAGCUCCCUGUGUUUUGGAAAUAAAUCCCUCUGGAGCAGCUGCAGGGUGCUGUAUUCAAGUGUAUCAUCACUUUGGCUUUUCCCACUUUUUUCCCACAUAAACCCAGAAUGUCAAUAUACAUGUGGUUAGAUAAAUGUAGUAACUAGGUGCAAUCAAGAGCAUGACAAGAAUUCACUGAAGAGGCACAAAUGCCUUCUUAUAUGAGAUCCUUUUUCACUGGAGGCUCUGCAACUGUGCCAUCAUACACUGUCCUCCUUCUGCAGUCAUUCUUCGGCUAAGGGCAGUGUUGUAUAAGUGGGGGUGCUGGAGGACUGCACUCUGGGCAAUGUAAUCAUUGCACAAAGGAAGAGGCAGAGCUUUUAUUUGGGACGUUGUUUUUUGUUGCAUUCAGCUUAACUCACUGCUUCAAAACGACUCAGGUUGUUUUCAAGUCCAUUGUUCUGGCCUUAAUGAAUUUAAACUUUUGCAUAACAUCAUUACGCAAUUGUGUGCACAUGAGAACUGCAGCAAUUCAGUGCCAAGCUGCACCUUUUGAAGCCCUGACUCUCUGAGGUCUGGAGGUCAAAAGUUAAUUCUAGUGAGAUGUGAGGUCUGCCUAUGUUUGCCAGAAAGGAGCUUGUUAUUUCAGGCACUCUGCAGUCUGUGUGUCACUGCUCCAACUCAUGGUCUUAAGGUUUACCCACCCUCAGUUCUCAGACACGACUUAAUAAAGCCACCCCAACACACUGAAUGUUUUGGAAAGCAGGGUGAGGGUAGGCAUGGCUGUUCCCAGAGGGGACAUGGGAAUCACAAGCUGGCAGUGGAGCUGGUGCUCACUGUGGGGCAGUGGGACUGGACAGCCUCAUGGUGCCCAUCCUCCCUGUCCUACUCUCCCCCUCACUGCCGCUGAUCCCUGGCUUAGCCUCUGAC